GUUGAUAGGUCGGGUGUGGAAGCGCUGUGAGGCGUGAAGCUAACCGAUACUAAUUGCUCGUGAGGCUUGACUC
This 73-nucleotide ribosomal RNA is filed under the name Vogesella sp. LIG4. RNAcentral describes it as "23S rRNA. Bacterial LSU". The record is from RNAcentral. Lineage: Bacteria; Pseudomonadati; Pseudomonadota; Betaproteobacteria; Neisseriales; Chromobacteriaceae.